GAUGAAGAACGUAGUGAAAUGCGAUACGUAAUGUGAAUUGCAGAAUUCAGUGAAUCAUCGAGUCUUUUAACGCACAUUGCGCCCUCUGGUAUUCCGGAGGGCAUGCCUGUCCGAGCGUCAUUGCUGCCCUCAAGCACGGCUUGUGUGUUGGGCUCCGUCCCCCGAUCCCGGGGGACGGGCCCGAAAGGCAGCGGCGGCACCGCGUCCGGUCCUCGAGCGUAUGGGGCUUUGUCACCCGCUCUGUAGGCCCGGCCGGCGCUUGCCGAUCAACCAAAUUUUUAUCCAGGUUGACCUCGGAUCAGGUAGGGAUACCCGCUGAACUUAAGCAUAUCAAUAAGCGGAGGA
This 345-nucleotide unclassified non-coding RNA is filed under the name soil metagenome. RNAcentral's name for it is "partial contains 5.8S ribosomal RNA, internal transcribed spacer 2, and large subunit ribosomal RNA". The stretch from base 1 to 120 matches the Rfam family "5.8S ribosomal RNA", at positions 35 to 154 of the family's 154-position model. The record is from RNAcentral.